AUUACUGUUUGUAUUCACUUCAGGGUCAUGGAGAGUAUUUGCUACUUCAGUUCAGUAUUUUCUUCUGUUAUAUAUAUAUUGUUCUUGCUCUUGGGUCAUCAUAUCCUCUGUUUUUCCUCUGUUUUUAUUUACUAUUGUAGUGAAGGUGGGUUUGUCAUUUUGUCC
Molecule: long non-coding RNA, 165 nt
Organism: Telopea speciosissima
Lineage: Eukaryota; Viridiplantae; Streptophyta; Magnoliopsida; Proteales; Proteaceae
Exons: 2
Source: RefSeq, a predicted model, not a curated record